GGGGUUACCUCAGACCGAACAAAUUUUUUUUUUAAGAUUCACAAAACUUUUAUCAACUAUAGGCGUGUUUUUUCUAUAACUCAGUUGCUACUCAUUUUUGAUUUUAUUCGCAAAACAAUAAUAAAAAUUACACAAGUAAGUAUUUGUUUUUAAGGCUUGGUCACACCGGAGGGUACAUGCGGGAGCGAUACGGGUAAUUGUAUGAAAUAAAUUUCAAACUGACAUAUCAACGUUCAGAUGUGGAAUUUUUUUCAUACAAUUACCCGUACCGCUACCGCAUGUAUCCUUCGGUGUGGCCAAGCCUUUAUUGUUUUUCGAAUAAAAUAAAAAAAUGAGUAGCUACUGAGUUGUAGAAAAAACACCCCUUAAAUGUAACUGCAGUCGAUUCUUAAUUCCGCUAAAGCAAAUGGUCAUUAGAACUGUGUCAGAGCGAAAAACUUGCCAAUAUCCUUUUUAAGUAUUUUUUAGGAGAGAAAUUCAUAGUUAAAAGUUUAAAAUAGAUCUGCUUACCGUAGAAGAAUUUAAGAAUGUACCGAAUAUAAAAUGGCCGAAUAUUCGGCGGCAUCUCUAGUUUAAAUUGGUACAAGGAGUGAUAAGUUGUUUAAUAUAAAUUGCGAGCGUUAACGAGCAAGAAAAUUUUUUUGAAGAAAUAAAUUUGAACCAUUAUUAGGCUUUAUACAAAAAAUUAUUUCGCACAAUUUUAUAAAUAAAAACAUUGAAAAAUGAGAUUUUUCUCCCACUAAAAUUUUGUAGCAAAAAAUUGAAAUAUUCUAUUAUAUCAAUUUAGUUCCAAAUUAAAUCGGGAAUACUUAAAAUUAAAAAUUUUAAAUAAUCCAAGUUGUUUGGCAUGAGCUAAUUUUCUAAUUUGAAACAAUUUGAUAAAUAGAAAGCUUAAAAUAUAACGAAAAAUUUUACAUAGGUACUCUCUGAAAUAAAAGGAUAAGAUGUCGGAAAGACUUAAAUAGAUUUAACGGUAAUAUUUCAAAAACGAGAUGUGAUCGAAUAUUUUUAUCUUCGGGUUCGAGUUCAGCAACCCUUUGAAAAAGUAUAGUUUAGCCUCGACACCAAAAACCUUGUAGAUAAAUACUUGUGUUAUUUAAAGGGUUCUUAAAAAAACAUUUUAAGGUGUUUCCGUAGUGCUUUAGGAAAUGAUCAAAGAGGGAGAUUUUCAGAUAGGUAAUUAAAUUACUAAAAUACAAAAACAAACCAUUUAGUACUGCAAAUAUUAGACUUGUAGAUAUUUUUUUAUAUUAUAUCUUUUGAUUUUCUGAAAAAAAAAAUUUCGGGGGGGGGGGGGUUAAACCCCCAAACCCCCCCCUAAAUACGGCUAUGUGUAUCACAAUCGAAUUCGAGAUCAGCUGGGUCAAUGUUUUCUUUUAUAAUUUCUUUUGUCUUUUCACUGUUUUGUUCAACAUUCUCAUUUGGCUUCACAAUAACGGACGGCACAAUUUUUAUUGCAACAUCUGCAUGUUUUUCUUUUCUUGUCCAAUAUGUUUGUCUCUUUUUCACUAAGGCUUUUAACAUUUUUAAUUAUGUUCUUUAUCUCAUCUUGUUUCGCUAAAGCUAUUUUAUAGCGUUUUCGUUUGGUAAUUCUUAGAACAGUCCGGGACUGUCCGAUCCGGAAUGCCAAACGAACAAACAUGGAUACUUCUUUUUGAUUCUGAAGUUUGGGUUUCUUUGUAUUUGUGAAAUGCAAAAUGCGAAUGUCUGAUGAAAGUUUUUUUUUUUUGUUUUUGCUUAUUUCGUAAAAAUUUAUGUUUUAUUUUUGUUUUCUUCACUUUAUUUUAAGUACCUGGGUGACCGAGCUUUGCUCGGUAUCCUAAAAUGUUAUAGCUUUGAGUGAAAAAAAAAAUCAAAUGUAAACAGCAAUUUUUUGGAGUGGGUUUGAGUUUGCAAUGACCAGUUUUUUCGCGGGUUACAAAACACCACAUUCCCACUUUAUAAUCAAGUUUAUUUAAGUUUGAAUAUACGACCAGCAAUGAAUAGAAGGGUUACAGGAAUCUGCAUUAUCGAAAAUGCUUACAGCAAUGAGAUCCCUUUUUGUUCAAAUUUUAAUUUACGGGUCAGAAAGUUUUGGAUGGUGAAUAUAAAGUUAAUCUUUUUUUUUUGUAUAGCCUGUCUCUGUUCUAUUCUGUAUCAGUGGAUUAAGACUAAGAUUAGGGUGAGAGGUGGGAAUAAUUUGCCUUAUCACUGCGGCCUCUGAUGGGCCUAUUGUGAUGUCCUCUUUUUAGAGUUCACGUAGAAAUCCUGAGUUUAGAAAACUUAGUAUGUUUUUGGGUGAACUAGCUAGUAUGAACUAGUAUCAGUGGAUGCUUUACUCCUUUCUUUUUUUUACUUAUAUAGGGUGUCCCAAAAGUAAUGGAUCAAACGAAAUAUGCUGAUUGGGGAACUUAAGGGCUCUCAGAAUUUGGAACCUUGUUCCUCCCAAAUCCUUACGGGUUUCAAUUUAAUGCAAUUCUUGUGAAAUUUCGAAAAAUCCCUACUUGACAACAGUAUUUUGCUUCCUGCGCCCAUUAUUGAUAUUUGUUUUUUCUUUUUAAUUCUUUUACGAAAACAUUGCCAAUAAUUAGGAACAAUUAAUUAAUCAAAAUAUUUUUUAUUCCAUACGCCAUAUUUCGCUGCAAAUUAACUAACAGUUUCAAGUUUUAUAAAAAAUCUAUUUCUAACUUUUAUUUGCGACCAACACCACAAACAAAAUUUUACGCUGUGAAAAUGGUUUAUUAUUUUAAAAAGUUGCCCUGUUAUUGUAGUUUUCAAAAAAGUAUAAAAGUUUCCUAAGUUGCAGUUAGAUCACAAAAUAUUACAAUUUGAAUUCAACAAAACAGGGUUUUUCAGAACAAAAAACAACCAACUGAAUAAAUGAUCAAUACAUGAUCAAAAAAGUCAUGAUCUAAAAAAUUUUGUUUAGUUAUUAUAACAAAAAGAAAAAGAACAAUGCGUAAAACAUGGAACCAUCCCUCAAAAUUUUAUUGAAGUCGUUGAAUCUCUCUCUGCGAAAACAAAACUAAUAUAAGAGAAAAUACUUCCAAAAUGUCUAGAGGACUUCAAAAUUUCAAAAAAAAAAAAAUCUAUGGUAAAAAAGUGGGCAUGGCAGUGGGCGGAUUUUUCCAAAAAUACUUACAAAACUUUUAACUCCCUUAGAUAAACAAGCCCUUAAAAUGUCAUCGAAAUCGUUAGAGACGUUUCCGAAAAAAAAAAACUUAAAUGUUAAAAAAGUGGGCUUGGCAGUGGGCAGAUUUUUCCAAAAAAAAACUUCCAAAACUUUUUACUUUCUUGGAUGAACAAACCCUGAAAAUUUCAUCGAAAUCAUUAGAGCCGUUUCCGAAAAAACUUAUAUGUUAAAAAAGUGGACGUGGCAGUGGGCGGAUUUUUCAAAACUUUUUACUCGCUUAUAUAAACAAACCCUGAAAAUUUCAUCGAAAUCGUUAGAGCCGUUCCCGAAAAAACUUAUAUGUUAAAAAAGCGGGCGUGGCAGUGGGCGGAUUUUUCCAAAAAUACUUCCAAAACUUUUUACUCGCUUAGAUGAACAAACACUGAAAAUUUCAUCGAAAUCGUUAGAACCGUUUCUGAGAUCCCAAUUUUAUAUAUAUUUAUAUACAUAUAUAUAAACAAUUUUAGCUCGUUUAAAGUUAUAAGAUAUAAUUUAAAGUUUGGCUUCUUAAAAAAUCUUUAUUUUCAGAAAUGAACAAUAAACAAUAACAUUUCAUUACUUUGACGUCUUAAGAGUGAAUAUGUGAAUAUGUGUGCGUGAUUCUCGUUUUGAUUCUGCCUUAAAAUUCGGAAUCGAUUUUCGCUUCUUUUCAGCAUUAGAACUGUCAUUGUCAUUUUUUUUUUUCACACGCCGCACGGUUGUCCAAAAUGACUUAUCUCGUUGCAAAAAUCAUAACUUUUGAAUUGAGGUAGCGGUACAAUUAUUUUUUAAUUUGAAGGAAAUUUCCAGGGCUGUUACACCAAUUAUAUUAUAAUUAUAUUAUAUAAUUAUAUAUUAUAUAAUAUAAUUAUAUAUUAUAUAAUUAUAUAUUAUAUUAUAGUUUCUAAUAUUUACUUCACUUUCUAAUAUCCAUUGUCCUAAAUGAGUUUCAGUUAAAACAAUUAAAUCAUAGUUCUUUUCAAUUAUUAUUAAAUGUUUAAUUUCAGUAAAGUUAUUUGUGAGUCCUUGUCUAUUUAAAAGCACGCAGUUAAAGUAUAACUUUGAUUGCUAGUAUGCAAAUUUAGAACGUUCUUGAUUAAUUAUUUUUAAAUAAACUGGACGGGCAUCAUGAUUAGGAUUAACAUCCAAACGUAGAUUUUCUAUUGCGAGCACACAAUUUUUGCAUUUUAAAACUUCACUUUUACAUUCUUCUAAUUUGUGUUCUUCAUUUCACUUUGGACAACAUACGUUUUUGGGACAUACUCUUGCACAGGACUUGUAACAUCUUCUCACAUUUAUUUUAUCGUAAACUGAACAUUUAUUCCAUCCAACAUUUAAGCACGGUUUUUCUACACCCAAAAUAUCCUUAAAUAAUUUACUAUCUACUUCAAGUAUUGCAUUAUAUUGCAUACUUAGUUGAUAUCUUUGGUAACACUCAAGGAUGUUCAUUGAACCUUCAAUUUUAUUUUGCUUUUUCAACACUUCUAUUAAAUUAUCUUCAUUAAUUUCCUUAUCAAUUCCAAUAACAAUUUUUGGUGCAAUUAAGGGUGGAAUAUUGACAUUAUAAUUGCCUCCCAAUUUUUCUUUCAAUUUGACUCAAUCUUUUUAGUAGUUUCUUCAUUUCAACAUUGUAUCACCAUAGCCGUAGCUAGGAUUUCAUUUCGGGGGGGGGGGGGGGUUACCUCAGACCGAACAAAUUUUUUUUUUAAGAUUCACAAAACUUUUAUCAACUAUAGGCGUGUUUUUUCUAUAACUCAGUUGCUACUCAUUUUUGAUUUUAUUCGCAAAACAAUAAUAAAAAUUACACAAGUAAGUAUUUGUUUUUAAGGCUUGGUCACACCGGAGGGUACAUGCGGGAGCGAUACGGGUAAUUGUAUGAAAUAAAUUUCAAACUGACAUAUCAACGUUCAGAUGUGGAAUUUUUUUCAUACAAUUACCCGUACCGCUACCGCAUGUAUCCUUCGGUGUGGCCAAGCCUUUAUUGUUUUUCGAAUAAAAUAAAAAAAUGAGUAGCUACUGAGUUGUAGAAAAAACACCCCUUAAAUGUAACUGCAGUCGAUUCUUAAUUCCGCUAAAGCAAAUGGUCAUUAGAACUGUGUCAGAGCGAAAAACUUGCCAAUAUCCUUUUUAAGUAUUUUUUAGGAGAGAGAUUCAUAGUUAAAAGUUUAAAAUAGAUCUGCUUACCGUAGAAGAAUUUAAGAAUGUACCGAAUAUAAAAUGGCCGAAUAUUCGGCGGCAUCUCUAGUUUAAAUUGGUACAAGGAGUGAUAAGUUGUUUAAUAUAAAUUGCGAGCGUUAACGAGCAAGAAAAAUUUUUUGAAGAAAUAAAUUUGAACCAUUAUUAGGCUUUAUACAAAAAAUUAUUUCGCACAAUUUUAUAUAUAAAAACAUUGAAAAAUGAGAUUUUUCUCCCACUAAAAUUUUGUAGCAAAAAAUUGAAAUAUUCUAUUAUAUCAAUUUAGUUCCAAAUUAAAUCGGGAAUACUUAAAAUUAAAAAUUUUAAAUAAUCCAAGUUGUUUGGCAUGAGCUAAUUUUCUAAUUUGAAACAAUUUGAUAAAUAGAAAGCUUAAAAUAUAACGAAACAUUUUACAUAGGUACUCUCUGAAAUAAAAGGAUAAGAUGUCGGAGAGACUUAAAUAGAUUUAACGGUAAUAUUUCAAAAACGAGAUGUGAUCGAAUAUUUUUAUCUUCGGGUUCGAGUUCAGCAACCCUUUGAAAAAGUAUAGUUUAGCCUCGACACCAAAAACCUUGUAGAUAAAUACUUGUGUUAUUUAAAGGGUUCUUAAAAAAACAUUUUAAGGUGUUUCCGUAGUGCUUUAGGAAAUGAUCAAAGAGGUAAAAACUAGUUUUUUUAAAAUCCCUUACCAAACGUUGUAAUGGACCACAAAAUUGUUGUUUUUCCUUAUAAAAACUUCAUCGACAGCUUCUUUAACGAUACGAAAUUGGUAUUGACUUUUAGGGAGAUUUUCAGAUAGGUAAUUAAAUUACUAAAAUACAAAAACAAACCAUUUAGUACUGCAAAUAUUAGACUUGUAGAUAUUUUUUUAUAUUAUAUCUUUUGAUUUUCUGAAAAAAAAAAUUUCGGGGGGGGGGGGUUAAACCCCCAAACCCCCCCCUAAAUACGGCUAUGUGUAUCACAAUCGAACCAUUUCCACUUUUUGACAUUCCACUGAUGUUCAAUUCGAGAUCAGCUGGGUCAAUGUUUUCUUUUAUAAUUUCUUUUGUCUUUUCACUGUUUUGUUGAACAUUCUCAUUUGGCUUCACAAUAACGGACGGCACAAUUUUUAUUGCAACAUCUGCAUGUUUUUCUUUUCUUGUCCAAUAUGUUUGUCUCUUUUUCACUAAGGCUUUUAACAUUUUUAAUUAUGUUCUUUAUCUCAUCUUGUUUCGCUAAAGCUAUUUUAUAGCGUUUUCGUUUGGUAAUUCUUAGAACAGUCCGGGACUGUCCGAUCCGGAAUGCCAAACGAACAAACAUGGAUACUUCUUUUUGAUUCUGAAGUUUGGGUUUCUUUGUAUUUGUGAAAUGCAAAAUGCGAAUGUCUGAUGAAAGUUUUUUUUUUUUUGUUUUUGCUUAUUUCGUAAAAAGUUAUGUUUUAUUUUUGUUUUCUUCACUUUAUUUUAAUAUAAUUUAAAGUUUGGCUUCUUAAAAAAUCUUUAUUUUCAGAAAUGAACAAUAAACAAUAACAUUUCAUUACUUUGACGUCUUAAGUGUGAAUAUGUGUGCGUGAUUCUCGUUUUGAUUCUGCCUUAAAAUUCGGAAUCGAUUUUCGCUUCUUUUCAGCAUUAGAACUGUCAUUGUCAUUUUUUUUUCACACGCCGCACGGUUGUACAAAAUGACUUAUCUCGUUGCAAAAAUCAUAACUUUUGAAUUGAGGUAGCGGUACAAUUAUUUUUUAAUUUGAAGGAAAUUUCCAGGGCUGUUACACCAAUGAAUUUCAAGAAAAUUGGUUCACAGGGUGUUUAGAAAUCAUCGGCCGAAAACAGGUUUUCUUUAAAAAAAAUGUUUAAAUUAAAAUUGGUAUGGCACUUUGUAGAAAUCACUAGUCCACAUCUAAAAACAAAAUUUCAAAAAAAUACAAUGUCCCGUUUUCGAAAAUUUUAUUUUUCAAAAAAAAAUGUUCAAAAUUUUUUUAAAAAAACAAAAAUUAUUUUUUUUUGAAAUUUUUGGCUUAUAUUUGAGUUAUAUAAGUGCUUCUUCACAAAAAGUUUCGUUGAAAUCGAACAAGCCGUUUCGGAGAAUAUCGGAUUUAAAAAAAAACGGUUCUAUGGCAGGUACCGUUAAUAAUCCAUUCGAGUUCAUGCUUUAAGCCGAAUAGGGUAUGUGUACCAACCAAUUUUUGAGCUAAAAUAAAAAUAUUUAGCUCCAGCCUGCAGCUGCAUUCAAUAUCUUAAGAAAUGUCAAGACAAAUAACAGUUAUCCACUUUUCAGACCUAUACAAUGAUUGCGUGCACAAACAAGAAAAACAUGCAAGCUUUUGCAAAGGAAAUUCACAUUAUAGAGUCUAAAAAUUUUCGAAAUUCACAUUACAGAGAUGACAAUGAAAAUUUUUGGCGAUUCACAUUUUAGAGAAAUUCGCAUUAUCGGUAAUUCACAUUAUCGAGGGACUACUGUAGUAAUGCUAUCAACGAUUUUAAGGUUUUAAUUUUUAGAAGAAAUAUUCUCCAUUGUAACUGCGUUUACAAGUUUUUUUAUCUUUUCUUAUUGGUCAGAUAUUAUUUUUUGAAGGAUGUUCCGUUGUUCUUGUGCGUGAUAAUUUUUGAUAAAUUUGGCGACAAAAUGAAGAUUUAUUUAAUAUGCUAUUUAUAUCAUCAGAUCCACUUGUUUCAUCUUUAAGACACGUUAGAUUCAAAAAAGAGCUUAAGAAAAGCUACUGUCCAGAGCUGAUUAAUCUAAUAUUAAAAGUGAUGAUGAUGGCAUUGAACUUCUUACUAAAAAUUUAUAAAUUAUUGUUUAAGAUAUUUUAUGUAUAUUUUUACAUAGGUACUAUGGGUCAAAAUCAUGGAGGUGGAAAAUUUGAUGUCCAGGCAUUUUUUCAAAUCAAAAUAACAUUUAUUUAAAGUUUUUUUCUCAUUUACCAAUUAAAAUAGUAGGCACGCAUAUACGAAUAUAUUUGUUUCGGUUAGAAAAGUUUAAAUUUCUUUUUUAUUUGAAAUAUUUUUUAAAAAUACAAAAAGGGUGUUUUUUGAAAAAAUUUUAGAUUUUUUAAAUAAUUAUGCUUAAACGUUUCUGUAUAAAAAUUGUGGUCGAAAUAUAUUUUGUCGUUUACGAGAAAUUCAUAAAUCAAAAAAACGGUUCUAUGGCAGGUACAAAAAAUAUUUUUUUUUAUUACGAAGAAAGCUUUUAUGUGUUUCACUACGCACAAAAAUUUUAAUCAAAAUCGUUAGAGCCGUUUUUGAAAAAAAUUAAAUUUUCUAUUUCUUAUAACUUUAAACGAGCUAAAAUUGUUUAUACAUAUAUGUAUAUAUAAAUAUAUAUAUGUAUAUAUAAAAUUGGGAUCUCGGAAACGGCUCUAACGAUUUCGAUGAAAUUUUCAGGGUUUGUUCAUCUGUUUGUGAGUAAAAAGUUUUGUAAGUAUUUUUGGAAAAAUCCGCAAACUGCCACGCCUACUUUUUCAACAUAUAAGUUUUUUCGGGAACGGCUCUAAAGAUUUCGAUGAAAUUUUUAGGGUUUUUUAUCUAAGCGAGUUAAAAGUUUUGGAAGUAUUUUUGGAAAAAUCCGCCCACUGCCACGCCCACUUUGUUAACAUAGAAUUUUGUUUUUGUAACAACUUUAAAAAUUUCGAUGAAAUUUUGAGGGUUUGGUCCUCUAGGCGAAUAAAAUAUUUUGGAAUUACUUUUAGAAACAUCCGCCCACAGCUACGUUUAUUUUUCUCACAUAUAAGUUUUAUGCUUAUUGAUUUCGAUGAAAUUUUGAGGGUUUUUUCCUCUUGGCAAAUACAACAUUUUGGAAUUAUUUUGUCUUAUAUAUUAGUUUUUUUUCGCGGAGACAGAUUCAACGAUUUCAAUAACAUUUUGAGGGAUGGUUCCAUGUUUUACGCACUGUUCUUUUUCUAACAAUAACUGAACAACAUUUUUAAGCUCAUGACUUUUUUGAUCAUGUAUUGAAACUCUUAAGUAAUUUGUUAAUUUGGUAUCACUAAUUACACUGUGCAAGUUUUUUGACCUGUCUGAGACAGGUGCGCCAUUAACUGUUUGGCCCUAUUUCGGACCCGAGAAAUCGAUUUGAGAAUUUUCCACUGUUUCUGCUCAAACGUUAUUUGCUACCAGUAGAAAGACAUAAACAAUUUUGAACAAUUUAUUUGAAAGUUUUGUGAUUUUUUUUUGAAAAAAUUUAAUAAAAAUCGAAUUUUUUUACAUUGUUUAUUAAUCCAGGCAAAUAAGGGUUUAACCUCGGAAUGAAUGUUAGUAGAAAUUUUUUUUGGUCAAUAUCUUCCUUUUGCCAUUCUAUAACAUAUCUCAAAAGUCUAGAAAAAUCUCAUGUCCGCUUGUCCCGAUUUCAAGGUCAAAUCGUGAAAUGGAGAUUUUCAAAAUAAGCAAAAACAGGCUAUGGUAUUAUAUACACAUAUGAUACAUGAUUUCAAGGUAUUUUUUAAUGCUGAUUCCAAAAAACCUAAAAUCAAGACAAUCUGACGUCUCUGGAAAAAGUUAUACCUGUUUUUCAUCUGUCAACUCAUAUUAUUAAAACAGUUGCAAACUUACUGCCGAAAAACCCUUAAAAGUUAUGGUAGAUGAACCAAAUUUUGCAUGAAGAUUUUAGAAUUCAUCAUUAUUAAAAAUCAAAACAAUCCAUUACAAAAAAUAUAUAUACCUACGAAAUAAUGGUAUUUUUUAAUGGAGGGGCAAAUUUUAGGAUAUGCACUAAAGAAGAUUCUUGUUCAUCUUAGGAAUAAGUGCUAAUAGGCUAAUUUUUUCAUUUUAAUCUUUGUUUGGAUAUUCUUUAACUACCCUCAAAAGUCUAAAAAAAUCUCAUGUCCGCAAGUCCUAAUUUUCUUGGUUUGAAAAUAAGGUGCAGAUUUUAAAAAAUUAAUAAGAAAAGUUUAAAUUUUUAUAUGUAUACCAACAUAAGCGACAUGAUUUAAAGGUAUUUUUUAACACUUAUUCCAACAAAACUCACAAACAAGUCAACUUGACCAUCCCUGAAAAGUAAUGCACCUUAUUCAUGUUGAUCUGACACAAAUAUCUAAAGUGUAGUUUUUCAAUUUUUUAAAAUCUGCACCUUAUUUUCAAACCAAGAAAAUUAGGACUUGCGGACAUGAGAUUUUUUUAGAUUUUUGAGGGUAGUUAAAGAAUAUCCAAACAAAGAUUAAAAUGAAAAAAUUAGCCUAUUAGCACUUAUUCCUAAGAUGAACAAGAAUCUUCUUUAGUGCAUAUCCUAAAAUUUGCCCCUCCAUCAAAAAAUACCAUUAUUUCGUAGGUAUAUAUAUUUUUUGUAAUGGAUUGUUUUGAUUUUUAAUAAUGAUGGAUUCUAAAAUCUUCAUGCAAAAUUUGGUUCAUCUACCAUAACUUUUAAGGGUUUUUCGGCAGUAAGUUUGCAACUGUUAUAAUAAUAUGAGUUGACAGAUGAAAAACAGGUAUAACUUUUUCCAGAGACGUCAGAUUGUCUUGAUUUUAGGUUUUUUGGAAUCAGCAUUAAAAAAUACCUUGAAAUCAUGUAUCAUAUGUGUAUAUAAUACCAUAGCCUAUUUUUGCUAAUUUUGAAAAUCUCCAUUUCGCGAUUUGACCUUGAAAUCGCGACAAGCGGACAUGAGAUUUUUCUAGACUUUUGAGAUAUGUUAUAGAAUGGCAAAAGGAAGAUAUUGAGCAAAAAAAAUUUCUACUAACAUUCAUUCCGAGAUUUACCCAUUUUUUCUCCUUAUUUGACUGUAUUAUAUCGUUUUUUCGCUGUUUUUGUUCUCUUUUGCACAAAUACAUUGCAUGUUUUCCAUUAAAAAUUAAUUUAACUGUCAAUUUAGUGUUGGUUAAACUUCAACAGUCUAUCGAUAGCAUCGAUAACAAAAAAAUAUCGAGUAUAUCGAUACUUCACAAAACUAUCGAUAGAGUCAAUACUUCCAAAUUAUUUUACCACAAGGCUACCGAUAUUAUCGAUAGUUUUUCUUAAAACUAUCGAUACAAUCGAUAGUGGAAAAUAUCGAUACAAUAGAUAAUGGAAACUAUCGAUAUCUACCAAACACUAUGUUAAUUAGUUGUUUACAUCCAAUGUCAAACGAAAACUAAACUUGUAGUUCAAAUUGUGUUUUUCUCACAUUUUUCAAAAAAAAAGUUGCCAUUUUGAACAAAUAAUUAAUCACAACAAAAACAUUACUGUUAAAAAAAGAGCCAAGUUCUCCUAUGUUGAAAUUAUGCUGGCACAAAAAGUACUGAGAUGUAAAAGUGUACUAAGUUCUAAAGUUCGGGUUCAAAUUCAAAUGUUUGAAAUUUCUAGCAUCUUUGGUGUGGAAGUUAGAGGGGGGUCGAAAAUGGCCUGAGUUGUUUCCUGUAAAUAAGGGUGUAGUGCCAAAGUUGCUAGAGAACUUGGCUGGGCACUACUGUGCCCCUUGAUUUACACUUAAAAACGGAUUUUCAAAAUUUUCCACUAACCGGUUUCCAAAAAAUUGAUUUUUCAAAAAAAAAUUUUGAAAUAUUUUUUAAAAAUACAAAAAGGGUGUUUUUUUGAAAAAAUUUUAGAUUUUUUAAAUAAUUAUGCUUAAACGUUUCUGUAUAAAAAUUGUGGUCGAAAUAUAUUUUGUCGUUUACGAGAAAUUCAUAAAUCAAAAAACGGUUCUAUGGCAGGUACAAAAAAUAUUUUUUUUUUAUUACGAAGAAAGCUUUUAUGUGUUUCACUACGCACAAAAUUUUUAAUCAAAAUCGUUAGAGCCGUUUUUGAAAAAAAUUAACUUUUCUAUUUCCGUUAUAUGACAGGUACCGUUAGUUUUGGUCCUAAAAAAAAGAAUUUCAAUUUUUCCUCUAGGGAAUCACCCCAAACUGUACCAAGUUUAAAGAAAAUAGCUCCAGUAGUUAAGGCUGUAGCUCGAGGUUCCUACAGACAGACAGACAGACAGAAUUGCCGGACCCACUUUUUUGGCAUUCUCCAUCAUCGUAAUGUCAUGUAAAAUUGUUAUCUCGAGUUCGAUUUUUUUUGCGAAUCCUAAACUUGCCCUAUAGUAUCGCAAGUAAAAAAGAAAGAAGUAAAGCAUCCACUGAUACAGAAUAAAACAGAGACAGGGAUAAAAAUAGUUUUUCUUCAUACUAAGCUUUACCGGCAAGGCUAAUUUUGAAAAAAAGAUUAACUUUAUGUUCACUAUCAAAAACUUUCUGACCCAUGAAUUAAAAUUUGAACAAAAAGGGAUCUCAUUGCUGUAGACAUUUUCGAUAAUGCAGAAUUCCUGUUACAGUAACCCUUCUAUCCAUUGCUGACCGUCGCUUGUAUAUUCAAACGUAAAUAAACUGGAUUACUGGGAAUGUGGUGUUUUGUAACCCGCGAAAAAACUGGUCAUUGCAAACUCAAACCCACUCCAAAAAAUUGCUGUUUAGGCCUCAGUUAUAGCUAUCAGUAAAAUCCAUCAUUAAAAAUUUUGUUUAGCUAUUUUGAAUACUUUAAACUUUUAUUUUGAACAAAAUAUUGAUGAAAUAAGUUGAAAGCUCAUUUUUACUAAUUUUUUCAAAAAGAAGCAUUGCAUUUGGUGUUAAAUUUUAUUCACAAAUCCAAUUUAUAAAUUUUACUGAUGAAGUUUCAUUUUACUGAACAACUGUUUUCCAAAUGCCAAAAAAAAAAUCCGUUUUGUUUUACUGAUGGCGUUUCAUUUUUACUGUUCCGGUGCCAUCAUUAAAAAAAUUACUGAUGCAAUGAUCAGUAAAAAAAUAGUUUGGCGAGCGAAUGGUCAAAUAAACAUUAUAAUUUAAUGAAGUAAAUUUACUGAUUGCUAUGAACGCUCAUCAGUAAAACAUUUCAGAUUCCUGAUGGUGCAAUUUUCAAUGAUGGAUUUUACUUAUAGCUAUAACUGAGGCCUCACAUUUGACUUUUAUCACUGAAAGUUAUAACAUUUAAAGAUACCGAGCAAAGCUCGGUCAACCAGGUACUUCCAUUUUAUAUACCCAAAAACAGCGUUCCCGGACAUGUCCAUAACUCAAAAACUGAUAUUCAAAUGACUUAAAAACACAUUAAAGUCAACUAUUUUUAAGUAUUUCUUUUCUUAAUACUACAUAUAAACAAUACUUUUUAUAAAUUGGUACAUCUCGACUUCGAACAAAAUUUUUUUUGAAAGUUUUUUCAAUUAUUUUGAGAGUUUCCCACUGUUUUUAGUCAUUUUUCAACCAAAAACAAUAUUUAUAUUGCUAAUAAUUCUGCUCAAACGGUAUUUGCUACCAGUACACAGUGGGUCACCUCCCAUACAAAGUGCGGUCAAAAAUUUAAUAACCAUUUUUUUUUUAAUGAAACACCUGUAUUAUCAUUUUAUAUGAUUUAUUAUUGCAAAAAAAUGCAUCAAGUCAGUUUUUUAAAAUUUUGGUUAUUUUCAAGAAAAAUAAAAAAAGGUAAAAAAAAAAAUUUUUUUGAAAAUAUAAAAAAAAAAAUGGUUAAUGUCGGAAAUGGACCUGCCUGUCAGUCGAGCACUUUACCCUUACCCUCUAGUUCAGUCUUUUAUAAAAAUAAUAGUGCCAAAAAGGAUUUUUUUUAGUUUUACGUUGUAAUUUUUUUUUUCUUCGUGUAUCGUCAUUUAAACUCGUAUUACUCGAAAAGGGGAAAAAAGGGGAAAAAACGGCGCUUUUAUUUCGAAAGGUAGGACGGUAUUCUUCAUUUGAGAACUUAAAUUGUAGAGGGCACUCGAAGGCAAACCAACUAAAUCUCUAAUUUAAUGAAAAUUGAGCUAAAUAAAAAUGGUUAAAAUUGCUUCGCUAACGAGCCCCAUUACAAUUAGCCUUAAUGUUAUUUAACAAUAUAAUUUAUGUUUUUAGAAAGUAUUAACCUUCUCGUUUAAUAUCCAUAACAAUUUAAUACUGUUCACAAUUUUUAACACCCGCUAUCACUAUCGCAAGUUCACACCUUAUAACUGCAGCGAUUAAAAAACUGUACCCUUUUUUAUAUACCGACUUUGAAUGGCUAUUAAGAAAUGAAAAAAAGGGUAACCGUCAAAUUUUUUUUGGUUUUGGUUCGAUGGGAGAUUGUAGAACGUUGUUUAAUCAUUAGAUUUUAAAAAAUUGACAUUUACUUUUUUUAUUUUUGACCUAUGGCGGGACCCACUGUGCAGUAGAAAGACAUUAUAAUCAAUUUUGAACAAUUUAUUUGAAAUUUUAGUGAUUUUUUUUUUUUUUAUUGAAAAAAAAAUUGAAAUUUUUUACAUUGUUUAUCGUUUUUUUUUCGCUGUUUUUGUUCUCUUUGCACAAAUACAUUGCAUGUUUUCCAUUAUAAAUUAAUUUAACUGUUAAUUUAGUGUUGAAUAAACUUCGACAGUCUAUCGAUAGCAUCGAUAACAAAAAACAUCGAUACUUCACAAAACUAUCGAUAGUUUAAUACUUCCAAAUUAUUUUACCACAAGGCUACCGAUAUUAUCGAUAGUUUUUUUCUUAAAACUAUCGAUAAUGGAAACUAUCGAUAUCUAUCAAACACUAUGUUAAUUUGUUGUUUACAUCCAAUGUCAAACGAAAACUUAACUUGUAGUUCAAAUUGUGUUGAAUUAAUUUCAAAGCUAUUUUUUUUUAUGAGAAAUUGUACGAGUGGUUUUAAAACUUUUUGCUACGUAUGAAAAAUAUUUCAAUUUAAAAGUUAUAAGAGACGUCGAAUGGGCACCAAGCAUUAUUUGUUCAAAUUGUUAUAAUAAGCUUAUCUAAUGGUCAAGUCUGGGUUUUGGAGUCCAGAUCCAAAAGAUCACAGUGAAGGUAACUGCUACGCAUGUGUAAAUAAAUUCGCCAGAUUAACUCGUUGCAAAACUAUUUACAAAAGUGUUCCGUGCGCUCAAAUGCCAAUACCUCAUUUAGAUGACAUACCGAUUCCAAAGUGUCCAAGUCCAUCUGAUGAAUAUAUACCACCUUCCUUUCAAUCAAAGCCAGAAUCAUCACUUUCGGCUUAUCAACCUUGUGAAUUAGAAAAGACUUGUAAUCAUGUUGAGAUUUCUCAAACGCGUUUAAAUAUAAUGGUACGACAGCUAAAAUUGUCGCAAAGGCAAUUGCAACGAAAAAAAUUAAACACAAUUUGAACUACAAGUUAAGUUUUCGUUUGACAUUGGAUGUAAACAACGAAUUAACAUAGUGUUUGGUAGAUAUCGAUAGUUUCCAUUUUAAGAAAAAACUAUCGAUAAUAUCGGUAGCCUUGUGGUAAAAUAAUUUGAAAGUAUUGAAACUAUCGAUAGUUUUGUGAAGUAUCGAUAUACUCGAUAUUUUUUUGUUAUCGAUGCUAUCGAUAGACUGUCGAAGUUUAAACAAUACUAAAUUAACAGUUAAAUUAAUUUUUAAUGGAAAACAUGCAAUGUAUUUGUGCAAAAGAGAACAAAAACAGUGAAAAAACGAUAAACAAUUUCGAUUUUUUUUUUCAAUUAAAAAAAAAAAAAAACUAAACUUUCAAAUAAAUUGUUUAUAAUGCCUUUCUAAUGGUGGCAAAUAACGUUUGAGGCUAAUAAUUAGCAAUAUAAAAUUUGUUUUUGGUUGAAAAAUGACUAAAAACAGUGAAAAAUUCUCAAAAUAAUUGAAAAAACUUUCAAAAAAAAUUUUGUUCGAAGUCGUACCGACAAAUCGAAAAACUAAUGACGCCAAUCGAUUUCUCGGGUCCGAAAUAGGGCGAAACAGUUAAUCGCGCACCUGUCUCAAAAAUUUUUUUCAAAAAACUAAAACAGUGAAAAAUUCUCAAAAUAAUUGAAAAAAACUUUCAAAAAAAUUUUUGUUCGAAGUCGUACCGACAAAUCGAAAAACUAAUGACGCCAAUCGAUUUCUCGGGUCCGAAAUAGGGCGAAACAGUUAAUCGCGCACCUGUCUCAAAAAUUUUUUUCAAAAAACU
Episyrphus balteatus (marmalade hoverfly) is the source of this 16090-nucleotide long non-coding RNA. RefSeq lists it as uncharacterized. The record is from RefSeq and is a predicted model, not a curated record. The transcript has 2 exons. Lineage: Eukaryota; Metazoa; Arthropoda; Insecta; Diptera; Syrphidae.